GACGAACGCUGGCGGCGUGCUUAACACAUGCAAGUCGAACGGAAAGGCCCUGCUUUUGUGGGGUGCUAGCGUGGCGAACGGGUGAGUAACACGUGAGUCAGCUGCCUAUGACUGUGGGAUAACUUGAGGAAACUGGGGCUAAUACCGGAUAGGAGCUCCUGCUGCAUGGGGGGGGUUGGAAAGCUUCGGCGGUUGGGGGUGGACGCGCGGCUUGUCAGUUUGUGGGUGGAGGAGCGGCUUACGAGGUGUUUGACGGGUAGUCGGCCUGGGAGGGUGACCGGCGACCAGAGUACUAAGGGACGGACCAGUGUCCAACGUGGGGCAGCAGUGGAGAAUAUUGCACAAUGGGCGGGAGCGUGAUGCGGAAACGCUGCGAGCGGAAAGACGGCCAUCGUGUUGGAAACCGCAGUCACCUAUGACGUAGCUGGAUUGACGUUAAUAAGAGAAGAAGCACCGGCUAACUACGUG
RNAcentral lists this ribosomal RNA (468 nucleotides) under uncultured bacterium. RNAcentral describes it as "partial 16S ribosomal RNA". It matches the Rfam family "Bacterial small subunit ribosomal RNA", at positions 28 to 507 of the family's 1533-position model. The record is from RNAcentral.